GACCACCCCACUGUUGUGGAGCUCAGUUAUUAAUGAAUGGAUAACAACGAUCCCAAGACGACUCCGCCCAAUAAAAGCCCACUCAUCCCAAGAUAGAAGACCACUAACCCCACAAUAGUUGUGUUUGUUUUAAUACGUGGGUCGAGAUAUAACUUAUGAGAUCACUCCGACUAAGUUUAGAAUAGAAGACCACUCAUUCCACAACCGUUAAUUGUCAGCUUAUUCAGAUUAUCACAGAUACCCGAUGCACUUAUUUUUGAACUUGGCAACUUCCGUUACAUUACUAAAAUGGCUUCAAAGAUAAAAGAUUUAAAAGGACCAUUUGAGAUAGUAUCCCUGGUUGGAACACUGUCAGGUGGAGAAGGUGGCCAUUUACAUAUAUCACUCAGUGAUACUGAAGGAAACGUUAUUGGAGGCCAUGUUAUUGGCAAUUUA
This is a long non-coding RNA of Patella vulgata (common limpet), 435 nucleotides long. RefSeq lists it as uncharacterized. The record is from RefSeq and is a predicted model, not a curated record. Lineage: Eukaryota; Metazoa; Mollusca; Gastropoda; Patellidae. The transcript has 3 exons.